This is a non-coding RNA of Metarhizium robertsii ARSEF 23, 123 nucleotides long. Lineage: Eukaryota; Fungi; Ascomycota; Sordariomycetes; Hypocreales; Clavicipitaceae. The record is from Rfam.
ACAUACGACCAUAGCCGCUAGAUCAUCAAAUCACGAUCCCGUCCGAUCUCGUACGAUAAACUAGCGAGCGCUAGAUUAGUAGUUGGGUCGGUGACGACCAGCGAAUACCUAGUGUUGUAUGUU